UACGUAUGUCACGAGUGUUAUUCGGAUUUAUUGGGCGUAAAGCGCGUCUAGGUGGUUAUAUAAGUCUGAUGUGAAAAUGCAGGGCUCAACUCUGUAUUGCGUUGGAAACUGUAUAACUAGAGUACUGGAGAGGUAAGCGGAACUACAAGUGUAGAGGUGAAAUUCGUAGAUAUUUGUAGGAAUGCCGAUGGGGAAGCCAGCUUACUGGACAGAUACUGACGCUGAAGCGCGAAAGCGUGGGUAGCAAACAGG
RNAcentral lists this ribosomal RNA (252 nucleotides) under uncultured bacterium. Its description in RNAcentral is "partial 16S ribosomal RNA". It matches the Rfam family "Bacterial small subunit ribosomal RNA", at positions 524 to 776 of the family's 1533-position model. The record is from RNAcentral.